Molecule: ribosomal RNA, 1321 nt
Filed under: metagenome
Description: bacterial LSU rRNA
Rfam family: Bacterial large subunit ribosomal RNA
Source: RNAcentral
AGUGGAUGGGGAGCAACCUAGUUGUGCGUGUGUAAAGGUAGUGCCAAGAAAAGCGAUGAUCAUGUUGAAAAUCAAUUCCCGGUACCCGAAACCGACACAGGUGGGCAAGUAGAGAAUACUAAGGGGCGCUAACUCUCUCCAAGGAACUCGGCAAAAUGACCCCGUAACUUAGGGAGAAGGGGUGCCACCGAGAGGUGGUCGCAGUGAAGAGGCCCAGGCGACUGUUUAGCAAAAACAUAGGUCUCUGCAAACUCGAAAGAGGAGGUAUAGGGGCUGACGCCUGCCCAGUGCCGGAAGGUUAAAGAAGUUGGUCAGUCUUAGGAUGAAGCUAGCGACUGAAGCCCCGGUGAACGGCGGCCGUAACUAUAACGGUCCUAAGGUAGCGAAAUUCCUUGUCGGGUAAGUUCCGACCCGCACGAAAGGCGUAACGAUCUGGGCGCUGUCUCGGAGAGAGGCUCGGCGAAAUAGGAUUGUCUGUGAAGAUACGGACUACCUGCAUUUGGACAGAAAGACCCUAUGAAGCUUUACUAUAGCUUGGAAUUGUGUUCGGGCUUCCUGUGCGCAGGAUAGGUGGGAGGCGUAGAAGGUAUUCUUGUGGGGAUACUGGAGCCAACGGUGAGAUACCACUCUCAGGAGGCUAGAAUUCUAACUUAAUUAAGGACAGUUUCAGGUGGGUAGUUUGACUGGGGCGGUCGCCUCCAAAAAGGUAACGGAGGCGUACAAAGGUUCCCUCAGACUGGUUGGAAAUCAGUCGAAGAGUGCAAAGGCAGAAGGGAGCUUGACUGCGAGAAGUACAGUUCGAGCAGGGUGGAAACACGGUCUUAGUGAUCCGACGGUGCUGUGUGGAAGGGCCGUCGCUCAACGGAUAAAAGUUACUCUAGGAUAACAGGCUGAUCUCCCCCAAGAGUUCACAUCGACGGGGAGGUUUGGCACCUCGAUGUCGGCUCAUCGCAACCUGGGGCGGAAGUACGUCCCAAGGGUUGGGCUGUUCGCCCAUUAAAGCGGUACGUGAGCUGGGUUCAGAACGUCGUGAGACAGUUCGGUCCAUAUCCGAUGUAGGCGUGAGAAUAUUGAGAGGAGCCUUCCUUAGUACGAGAGGACCGGGAAGGACGCACCGCUGGUGUACCUGUUAUGAUGCCAAUUGUAAACGCAGGGUAGCCAAGUGCGGAGAGGAUAACCGCUGAAAGCAUCUAAGUGGGAAGCCCACCUCAAGAUGAGUAUUCUGGUGUAAGGUCACGGGAAGACGACCCGUAAAUAGGCACGAGGUGGAAGUGCAGAGAUGUAUGAAGCCGAAGUGUACUAAUAGACCGUCGGCUUGACC